This 464-nucleotide ribosomal RNA is filed under the name uncultured bacterium. Its description in RNAcentral is "bacterial SSU rRNA". It matches the Rfam family "Bacterial small subunit ribosomal RNA", at positions 88 to 571 of the family's 1533-position model. The record is from RNAcentral.
CAAGGGAGUGGCGCACGGGUGAGUAGCGCGUGGGAACCUGCCCUGUUGUGGGGGAUAACCGAGGGAAACUUCGGCUAAUACCGCAUACGCCGGUUGUCUUGAAAGAGAUGGCCGGGAAAGAUUUAUCGCAGCAGGAGGGGCCCGCGUCGGAUUAGGUAGUUGGUGGGGUAACGGCCUACCAAGCCUUUGAUCCGUAGCUGGUCUGAGAGGAUGAUCAGCCACACUGGGACUGAGACACGGCCCAGACUCCUACGGGAGGCAGCAGUGGGGAAUAUUGGACAAUGGGCGCAAGCCUGAUCCAGCAAUGCCGCGUGAGUGAUGAAGGCCUUCGGGUUGUAAAGCUCUUUCGCCUGCGAGGAUGAUGACGGUAGCAGGAGAAGAAGCCCCGGCUAACUUCGUGCCAGCAGCCGCGGUAAUACGAAGGGGGCGAGCGUUGUUCGGAAUUACUGGGCGUAAAGGGCGCG